UUGACCACUUGUAAUGUGCACCUAGGAAGAAGCAACAAUUGAACCCAAGCACCUAUAGAACCUGCAUCAACAACCUUAUAAAGACUAAGAGCCUCUUUCAAUGCCUGAGAGAAUGUCAGACGACAACUAUGAUGUAUACUUUUAACGGUGCAUAUAGGUGCUUGGAGAACUCUCUUUAACCACUAAAAUUGAACUUGUGACUAGAAAUAUGAAUAGGUCUACAUGAUACAUUCACAAGUGUAUGAGUAUAUCGUCGUAAUAAAAAAGAGUAUCGAUUCACAAGGACUAAGAAGAAACAAGGUAAAACUUGUUUAUAGAGAUUAGAAAGAUUAGAGAAAUAGAAAUAAAAUAAAUAUAAAUAUAAAUGAGAUAUUGGAGAUUUGGUUUGGUUUAUGAGAGAUUGAUCAAGUGAGCAAGAUAAGCAAAUAAUUAUAUUUCUAAUAAAAAUCACCCUAUGAUCAUGGAUUUUAUCACAACUAAAUAGUUCCUAUUAACCUAACCAAUCAUACUUUUAUCAUGUGAAAAGAUAUUUAAAACAAGCUAUAGAUAAUGUGAUAACUACUUGCAAUUAACGGGACAUCCCGUGAAAACAAGAUGGAGAUCCUCACAUACCCUUAGACGCACGGUAAGUGCAAUACACUGGUCAUAUCAUAAAGGAUUAGGAAAUACAUUGACUUCUCUGUUCGGUGCUUCAUCUUCUUGUCCUAAGAUAAACAACAAACACCCUAUGACAUAUGAUAUCAUUUGUUAGUAAUCACAAUCAACAAAAACACAAGAGACAAGGAUCAAGAGAGAAUGCUAUGGAUUACUCUCCAUAACCCUAAGAUGCUGGUGAACUACUCACACCUACACAUGAUGAGGAUCUGCAAGCAUAAACUAAAUUAAUCUAAACUAAGAAGACAUGAGAAAAUACAAGAAAGAACUUUAUUGAUAAUGUAGGAUUGUAUACAAUAGAAAACAUGAUGAUUUUACAAAUGAUAGAGGGUCUAUAUAUAGCCUUGAGAAGCUCAAUUUCCGUGGAAAAAUAAUGGAUAGCUGAUCUUAAUAAAAUUAGUGGACAAUAAAAUGAAAAAACGGAAAGCCAAAACUAAUUUGGCUCUAAGAAAAGCCUACCAUGGCAGUGGCCAACCUGGCACGACCCAUGGCAGGGCUUCAGGAUGAAUCAUUAUCAUGGUGCUUCGACUAUGAGGCCUGGCACAACUGUGGCCAGUCAGGCACAUCCAUGGCCAGGUGCCAGAGUGCUUUUUCUUGACUUUUCACAUCUUCGUGAUAGUUUCCUUGUUC
RNAcentral lists this long non-coding RNA (1284 nucleotides) under Trifolium pratense (red clover). RNAcentral describes it as "long non-coding RNA (TPRA_LNC014145)". Lineage: Eukaryota; Viridiplantae; Streptophyta; Magnoliopsida; Fabales; Fabaceae. The record is from RNAcentral.